UUUUUUUUUUUUUAAAUUGAUAUUUAUUAAGUUUUCAAAGAAUAACAACAAAAAUUUCCAAAAAAUUUUGAAAAUACAAAAAACAAAAAUAGUACAUAAACAAAAAAGAAAAGAAAACCCAGCCGCAAAGAAAAAAAAGAAAAACAGAAAAACAAAAAUAUAAAGUCCUUUACAAUCUCUAUUGACUUCCUUUCUAGACUUCCUCCUCCUCCCCUCUCUUGUUUCUUAAUUUUUAAUUUUUACAGCAAAUCCUUUCUGUUUUUUCAUAACAAUCUGUCAUUACGUUUCCUUAUUCUAUUUUCCCUCUUGUCAUAUAAAAACUUUAAAACUCAUAGCUUAUAUUCAAUAUUUACCAAAUUCUUACAUCAUUACCUUUUACGAAUCAUUUACCAAUCCUUACUUAAGCCAUGUAAUUUCAUUCAACAUCCUUCAAACAUUUGUAAACAUUCCAAUAUU
Molecule: non-coding RNA, 456 nt
Organism: Podarcis lilfordi (Lilford's wall lizard)
Lineage: Eukaryota; Metazoa; Chordata; Lepidosauria; Squamata; Lacertidae
Source: the annotation of a GenBank genome assembly